AUCUACGGCCAUGCCACCCUGAACGUGCCCGAUCUUGUCUGAUCUCAGAAGCUAAGCAGGAUCAGGCCUGGUUAGUACUUGGAUGGGAGACCACCUAGGAAGACCAGGUGCUGUGGGUU
RNAcentral lists this ribosomal RNA (119 nucleotides) under Pteropus alecto (black flying fox). Lineage: Eukaryota; Metazoa; Chordata; Mammalia; Chiroptera; Pteropodidae. The record is from RNAcentral.